Molecule: ribosomal RNA, 491 nt
Filed under: uncultured Pseudomonadota bacterium
Lineage: Bacteria; Pseudomonadati; Pseudomonadota
Description: bacterial SSU rRNA
Rfam family: Bacterial small subunit ribosomal RNA
Source: RNAcentral
CCAGCAAUGCCGCGUGUGUGAAGAAGGUCUUCGGAUUGUAAAGCACUUUCGGCGGGGACGAUGAUGACGGUACCCGCAGAAGAAGCCCCGGCUAACUUCGUGCCAGCAGCCGCGGUAAUACGAAGGGGGCUAGCGUUGCUCGGAAUUACUGGGCGUAAAGGGCGCGUAGGCGGCCUUGUCAGUCAGGCGUGAAAUUCCUGGGCUUAACCUGGGGGCUGCGCUUGAUACGGCAGGGCUAGAGGUCAGAAGAGGGUCGUGGAAUUCCCAGUGUAGAGGUGAAAUUCGUAGAUAUUGGGAAGAACACCGGUGGCGAAGGCGGCGACCUGGUCUGAAACUGACGCUGAGGCGCGACAGCGUGGGGAGCAAACAGGAUUAGAUACCCUGGUAGUCCACGCCGUAAACGAUGUGCGCUGGAUGUUGGGGCUCUUAGAGCUUCAGUGUCGUAGCUAACGCGGUAAGCGCACCGCCUGGGGAGUACGGCCGCAAGGUUG